UAACCAUUAUAUAAUUUGAAAUAUAACGCAUAGCUUAGCGUAUGUUUAUACCAGGGAAUCAUAACGAUACAAGAGCUCAUAGAGAUUGAACGAUGAUUGAUGACAAAUUAAAUAAUUAUUGCCAUUGAACUUAUAUCCUUUCAACUAGAUUGUACCAGGAUACUAUAACAGCUGAGGAGGUGUCUUUAAAUCAUUUUGAUGACGGAAACGCUGUAUUGAGUCAUUUUAUUAUUCGUUCAACUUAUUGGUCUUAACUUUUAAAAAAUCUGCUAAUUUAUUGUUACUCUUUUCGCUUAGAAGAAUCGUCAAGAUAACUUUGAAACAUCAAAAUUCUCGUCAUUUCUUUUGGUAUAAGAUUAACAUUCUUAUAUUGAAACUUCACAAGGUAUUUGGCCUUGCCUUACUUAGACUAUUUUUAAUCAAUUUUUAGUAAUUUUAGCCUUGAGCAUGGCGUUGAAAUAUUUCUGACCGCCUUUCUAAAAUAUAAAAGAGCGCGUGACCUUAUAGUAUUCAUUACGUAUACCUUUU
Molecule: unclassified non-coding RNA, 528 nt
Filed under: Melitaea cinxia (Glanville fritillary)
Lineage: Eukaryota; Metazoa; Arthropoda; Insecta; Lepidoptera; Nymphalidae
Description: misc RNA ENSMCXG00005018634.1
Source: RNAcentral